CCUACGGGUGGCAGCAGUGAGGAAUAUUGGUCAAUGGGCGCGAGUCUGAACCAGCCAAGUAGCGUGAAGGAUGACUGCCCUAUGGGUUGUAAACUUCUUUUAUAUGGGAAUAAAACGUUCCACGUGUGGGAUUUUGUAUGUACCAUAUGAAUAAGGAUCGGCUAACUCCGUGCCAGCAGCCGCGGUAAUACGGAGGAUCCGAGCGUUAUCCGGAUUUAUUGGGUUUAAAGGGAGCGUAGGUGGAUUGUUUAGUCAGUUGUGAAAGUUUGCGGCUCAACCGUAAAAUUGCAGUUGAAACUGGCAGUCUUGAGUACAGUAGAGGUGGGCGGAAUUCGUGGUGUAGCGGUGAAAUGCUUAGAUAUCACGAAGAACUCCGAUUGCGAAGGCAGUUCACUGGACUGCAACUGACACUGAGGCUCGAAAGUGUGGGUAUCAAACAGGAUUAGAUACCCCUGUAGUC
Molecule: ribosomal RNA, 460 nt
Filed under: uncultured bacterium
Lineage: Bacteria
Description: partial 16S ribosomal RNA
Rfam family: Bacterial small subunit ribosomal RNA
Source: RNAcentral